This 403-nucleotide ribosomal RNA is filed under the name uncultured bacterium. Its description in RNAcentral is "partial 16S ribosomal RNA". It matches the Rfam family "Bacterial small subunit ribosomal RNA", at positions 30 to 526 of the family's 1533-position model. The record is from RNAcentral.
AUUGAACGCUGGCGGCAGGCCUACCACAUGCAAGUCGAGCGAGCGGCGGACGGGUGCGUAAUGUAUGGGGACUGCCCGAUAGAGGGGGAUAACUACUGGAAACGGUAGCUAAUACCGCAUACUAUCGGAUAACCCAUAGGGGAUUAGCUAGUAGGUGAGGUAAUGGCUCACCUAGGCGACGAUCCCUAGCUGGUCUGGGAGGAUGAUCAGCCACUCUGGUGCUGAGACAAGGCCCAGACUCCUACGGAGGCAGCAGUGGGCAAUAUUGCACAAUGGGCGCAAGCCUGAUGCAGCCAUGCCGCGUGUAUGAAGGAGGCCCUAGAGUUGUAAAGUGCUUUCAGUCGGGAGGCGUUACCGACAGAAGAAGCACCGGCUAACUCCGUGCCAGCAGCCGCGGUAAUAC